This 1049-nucleotide long non-coding RNA is filed under the name Phoenix dactylifera (date palm). RNAcentral's name for it is "long non-coding RNA (PDAC_LNC008799)". The record is from RNAcentral. Lineage: Eukaryota; Viridiplantae; Streptophyta; Magnoliopsida; Arecales; Arecaceae.
GAAAUUCCCAAAGGUGAUUUGGGGAGUGGAUGUAGGAGCAGUGGAAGCUCCGAACCACUAUAAAACCUUGUGUUUGCGAUUGACCUUUCUCAUUCAUCCUUUACUUUAGUGCAUAUAUUUGUGUGUUUUAUUUUUAAUUAGGCGAAAAGUUUUAAAACACCCAAUUCACCCCCCUCUUGGGUGACCAUCUCUGGGCAACACAUAUCAAAUAUCAUCACAAUUAUAGCGAUAUUUUAUCGGUGUGGUAUGAUACAUCUGGUAUUAAGCAAUAUAUGCGAUAUGACGAAUAUGUUAGUUGGUAUGCUUGCAAAUGAUAUAUUGUUUCUUUCCAAAGUUUACUAGAGUUACUUGUAAUGCUGCAGGAUUUAAAUUCUUUUGUUGUCCAUUCAAAUUUUUUGCUGUUCAUUUUUGAUGGAAUCAAAAUGUUUGUAGAAACUAAAGUAGAUCUUAUGUAGGAAAUUAAUUCUGCAAUUUUUUUGUCUUCCAUGUGCAAAGAUUGAUGACAAUCUCCUCUUUCAUAAGCUGAAUGGGAGACUAGAUGGCUGGAAAUGGGGAUGUUCUCUCUAGGGGUAGCAAUGGAUCGGGCCUGUUUGGGAUUGGAUCAGGUCAGCUAAAGAUAAAAACUUAUAAAUAUCUUGACCCAUAUCCAGUCCAACUUGACAUUAGACAAGACCUCUCAACCAUUGCUCACCCAUAAGUUGUUCGUUCACUCAUUUGACGCUAAUAUGAUCAAUUUUACAAGAUCCAAUUCCUCAUAGACCUAGCCUAAUCUAUCAAAUCCAAUCCUUAUAAUUCUCACGACUAUUUUUUAAACUGGUAUUAAGAAAAACCAAUACACAUAAAAUUUUUAUCUAAGAUCAUGUCUCAACCCGACCUAAGUUGUUUGGACUCAAAUAGAACCUUACCCAUCAUGACCCAAAUUGGACCAAAGCUCCUAUUUAAGUUCGGUUUACAAAAUUUGAUCCAUUCGGACUCUAACGGGAAAACCUUCACCCAGACUUGGCCCAAAUAGGGUCAGGUCAGGAUGGGUUCCCAGGACGGAUCAUUUU